Long non-coding RNA from Nymphaea colorata (pocket water lily), 12886 nucleotides. RefSeq lists it as uncharacterized. The record is from RefSeq and is a predicted model, not a curated record. Lineage: Eukaryota; Viridiplantae; Streptophyta; Magnoliopsida; Nymphaeales; Nymphaeaceae. The transcript is spliced from 7 exons.
CCGACUCUCCGUCUCUCGUCUGAGUUUUCUCGUCUUAGUUUUCCUUUUUACUUUCCCUCUCUCCGACUCUCCGUCUCUCGUCUGAGUUUUCUCGUCUUAGUUUUCCUUUUUACUUUCCCUCUCUCCGACUCUCCGUCUCUCGUCUUAGUUUUCCUUUUUACUUUCCCUCUCUCUGACUCUUCGUCUCUCGUCUGUCAUCUCGAAACUUCUCCUUCUCUUCUCCAUCUGAAACUUGUUCCCCCAUUGCAACCCUAACCUUUACCCAUCCGUGGGCCACUUCAGGCUUCAGCCUUCAAGGUCAGCCGGCACCGGCAGCUCCACUUCAGCCUUCUCCCUUCAGCUUUCAGCCCAAGGUUCAUACAUGUGCUCUCCGCUUCAGACUUCUCCCUUUGCUUUCAGCCCAAGUUCCUCUUGCAGACGCCUCUCCCUCUCGGUCUCCUUAGAAAACCCUUCAAUGCCUUCAUCCUUCAACUGGUUUCAGGCCGCCAACCGCUUUGAUAUCCCCUUGUUGACGAGGACUGUCGGCAUCGGGUUCUGCCAUUCUGGUGACCCUGGUAAAACACCAGCAGCUCUCUAUGUCUCUUGUCGUAGUUUCAGGUGAGCGCCACAGCCUUCAACCGAUCUCCCCUUGUUGUUGAGGACCGUCUGCAUCGGGUCACGCUAUUCCAGUGACCCUAGUAGAACACUGGCAGCUCUCUCGUCAUAGCCAGGAUUUCAGAGGAAAGCAUUUGAGAUUCUGAAACUACUGAAUGGAGAUUAAGAACCCUUCAUCCUUUCAACUGGUUUGAGCCAACAGUGCCAUAGUUUAUCCAAGGGCCAACAGAAGUUGCUAUCUCAUAAAAGUCAGCAAAGUGAACCUGUCACAAAACAUUUGUUCACAUAUUUAUACAUACUUCUGAACAAGCUAAUUAUGUAGAAGUCCCAUUCAUUUGGAAUGAAUUUGAUGGAACUGGCCCGCCUUCCCACUUGCACCAACUAUUUGGACAAGUCCAUUCUGAUGUGAUGUUCCUAUUUGUCAAUAGGUCCUUCAUCUUGUUUUGCUGGACUAGUUUUCUGCACUAUCAUUUGAUUUGUUUAUGAUACAUCAUUUCUCUUUUGGCAGUUUAUUUUCAGGGCAGAAGUGAAUUCAUUUUGCUUAUCUAAAGUAUCUAUUGAUGUAUAUGUAUUUGUCUAUAAUGACUAUGGGCCUGUAGUAGCGCAUCAUGGAUUGAGUUUGAUUGAGAACUAGCCUGUCUGAGAUCUAAUAAGGUUUGUCCUUGUUGACAAAGAAGGAGCUCAUUAAGAAUUCCUGUGUGGUUUAAAGAAGAUUUAUACUACUGUGAAAUGGUUGUCAUUUGACUGUUUAUACUUUAGAAAUGUGAGAGGAAUUCACCAGUCAUGAUUUCCUUGUUUUGUUUAUAAUGUUGUUACUGUUGGCAGCUACGGUGAAUAAGGUCUACUGCGAAUAAAUAGUUGAUUUAUAUGUCUUUGUAAGUGUUGGGAGGCUGGAAUGUGAAUUGUCAUGCAUGUGAUUGAGAAUGGUUAAGGUUCUCCUGUUUUUGCAGUGCCAAGAGGUGCUAAAUUCAUUAUUAAGUCCAUAAUGCUAAUUGUGUGGGAUAGAUUCCUGGUUACCAAAAUCUUGUUUCUGUUGCAAUAGAUAAGUUGUUUUUCUUUUUGUGUUUGUUGGUAAUGAGUUAAUCGAGCCUUAAUCGAGCUCGAGUUCAACAAGAAAAGAUGAGUAGCAACCGAGUUUAUCGAGCUUAAGCGAGUCGAGCUCGAGCUCCACAAGUGACAAUCGAGCCGAGUUCAAGGCACUUUAGUCGAGUUUUUUUCGAGCUCGAGCCGAGUCAAGCUCGAGGCCUUAUUUAGUCGAGCCGAGCUGGAGCUGGCUGAGUUCGGGCUCGACUCGGCUCGUGUUCAGCCCUAGCUGGAAUGUUGAUAAGUUCUUUUGAAACAUGAAAUUUUAAGGUUUGUCUAAAGUAAAAGAACUACAAGAGUUGACAAAACAGCUGGAUAUUUAUGAUAUGUCAAUUGUUCAUUAGCACGAAUACAUGGGAGUUGGACUAUGUGAAAAAGGGGCUUCUUUGCGAGGUGCUAUAACCUUAUUUUCUUGUUUUUUCACUUCAAUCAUGAGAAGUUCAUUGUGCCUCUCAAAAUUGUUGCAUUUGUAUUCAGUUGUUUGACAAAAAUGUUGUGAGGCUAAAUUUUGGUGGUACUUUUCGUCAUAACGUCAAUAUCUUGUUUGUCAGUGAUCCUAACUUCUACAAUAUAUUUACAAAAUAUCACAUUCUUAUAGUACUAGUGCAAGAGGUAUCUUUGUUGUCGACUUAAUUAUUAAACUACCAAACAACAUGCUUUGCUCCAUGCAUUUCAUGUUCAUCAAUUCUAUUGCAAGCAAUGAAUAAUAUUUAGAAAUGCACAUGUGCUUAAAAGUGGAGCUCCUGUUUUAAAUGGCAUUGAUGUUAUUGCAUUGAUGAAUUUGACUCCAUGUAAAAUGUUACAUGAUAUUGUGCUUUGUCUUGUGCCCUAUGCAACUUUUUUUUCUUAAAAAAUGUUCAUGCCCAAAAACUAGGUUAGAUGCGUAGAAGUAUGAUGUUUACCCUCUGAUAUCAUAUUCAUAACGUCCCUCCAAGCAAUGGAACAACAAACUAUUUCAAAUGCAAAGGUUGGUAAAAUUCACUUAAUGGUAGGACUUCUACUAAUCCUAGUGACUCACACUAUAAUUGACAUUUAUCAAUGAUUGAUGACAUUCAUUUGCCUCCUACUUCUCUUUCCAGAUAAAACUUCAUAUUUGAAUCAUCACUUUCGAAGUCAUGAGUUGGAAAAGUUCAUGUUCAUUUGACAUCUAUUCAGACUUUAUGUCAUUACUUAUUCAUGCAUUUACUAUAUCAAAAUGAUUUUUGGGUCUUUUUUUCGUUAUAUUUCAAGGAUUAAUUUUUACUAUGCAAUUUUCCCUUUUCGGUUCUUAAUCAUACUACCACCAUGCUAUUCUUAUGUUGAGCAUGUAUUCUGCUAUUGAGGUGGCAGUCAACACUUCUUUUACAAGACCUUUCUCCUCUUCCCUCUGAAUUAUGGUGCAACAUAACUUAGAACUCCCUAGAAAAUGAAAAAUUGAACUUUUUUUAUUUAGAGACGACAUCUCCUUCUCUAACUAGUUAAAACCACUACCAACUUGAAAAUUUCUUCUCAUGCUUCCAGUCAUGUUCGUUAUCUAGUGCUACUAAAAUAGACUGAAACUCAACCAUUGAAAUAUGAGUCUCACCAUUUUCACUUUUCUGGAAUUGUUUGCUAUGCUAUAACUGAAUGAGUUGGGCACCAAUUAUAAAGUAUUUUAGAAAUUCUUUCUUGGUGUAAAUAUAGAAGAUAAUUAGAAGUAAAAGUAGCUACUAUGACAAGUUUAUAGAAGCACAUACAUCAAAUGUUAUAAUGUAGAAGCUUCUUAGAGUGUCCGACAUUAGAAUAGCUGGCAUUAAAAUGUCAAGUAUUUAUAUCAUGCUUUGGUGGGGUGGAACAAAAGUUUUAGAUUCACAUUGCAUAGGUAAUUGAAGGACUGCAAAUUUUGUUUGAGACAUUUUCAUAGCUUGUUUGAAAGAGAUGCCAUUAAAAUUCCAUGACUUUGUACUUGGCUGUUGGCUGAACCACCAACCCAUUUUUGCAAGCAGUUUUAUCAUGACCUCUUGCUAAUACUCUUUUUUAUAAUGACUAGUAGUAGGUGGAGCAAGACAAGUAAGGCCUUUGAAUUAAAUGGAAUGCAAACAACUAAAGUACUCAAAGAACAUAUACAUAUUCAUUUAUUUAUAUGUGCAUAUUUGAUAGACUUUCAUGAUAUUGAGAAAAAAAAAUAUGGGUACAAUUAUUAUAUGAAACCAUAAUUUUUUUUUUUUUGCAAACUAGAAACUUUCAAAAAAAAAAAGAUUUAGGUUUCUUUAUGUGUAUAUCACAUAUAAAUUGUGGUUACAAUUAUAAUAUGGAAAACAUUAGUUUUUAAUGAAAUAGAAACUUUUUUUUUUUUUUCAAUCGAGCUCCUCCUAAUUCAUUUUGUGUCUCUGUGUGUCAGCCUCUUUUCACAUUGGACAAAAAAUUGUAGUAUCAUUAUAAUAUGAUAAACAUUAUUCUUUCAAUGUAAACCUACGGUAGGAUAUGUCCUCAACCAAUUAUAUUAUCACAAAAUAUGAUAUUUGCAGCAAAAAGUAGAAAUCCUAAGAGGACCGGAUGCAAAACAAUGGCAAAACAAUUCAUGAUAUCAUUGUAUGCAUUAUACAUUGAGAUUCUUCUUUGAAAAGGAUGAACCAAAAUUGAGAUUAAUUAAUUACCAGCUAGUGGUGUGCAACAAGCAGUGAUGAGUUUGAUUGGUAAUUAUAUAGUAGGGACAAGGCUUGUGCCUUGGAUGAACCUGUUUGUCCACUUCUUCUAGCUGGACCAAUAUGUCAUCUAUAACACAUAUUUUUCCAUUAAGUGCUGCUGAUAGAUUGAACUUAUUUGUUCAAAACCUAAUUCUCAGAAAAAGUGAAACUGAUACCUAUCCCAUACAAGAUUCCAAAAUUAUAGUCCCUUUUAUUUUAGAUUUCACAAAUCUAGAAGUGUUGGUAGGUUUGAUUUUUUUUUUUUAAAAUCCAGUGCAAUAUGUAUAUUUAGUUUGUGUUUUGAAUCGAUAGUCCCUUGAUUGGAUUCUUAUUUAUUAACCAAAUAAACCCUUAGCUUUCUCUCAUAUUCUUAAUUUGCAGCAAAACUAUGGCACUUCUAUUUCAUAGAGGAAUUCUGAAAUGAUUUAGAGUCUUACCUUUAGCCCAUAAUCUCAAAAGGAUAAAUUCAGUUUUCACUAUGCCAAAUUCAACUUGUGCUGAUGGUGGAUAGGAUGUUGGUAGAUAGGCAGGGGAGUUGUGGAAGGUGAGAGCCAUCAGUGAAAACACCCACAUAGCUUGAUUCCCUCAUUAGCACCCAAAUCAAGAUCAAGAACAUGAACAAACUCAAUGCUCACUUUACAUCGUUUGUGCAUGAGAGCAUUUGCAGCUCAUAUGCCAUGAAUGUCAAUGGCUGCGAAGGCCGUACCUGCCUCACCAAGAUCGACUCACGGCCAAGCAUGAUGGCAUGUAUGAUUGAAUCCCCCAUCCCAGCUUCAUCACCUCUUGUCUAGCUGUUGGUGGAAUCGGGAGCUCUAUAUCAACCAUGUCGAUCGAACAUGUUAUGCCCCAUCUGAAGCCAUUUUCUUCUUCUUUCCCCUCAUUUAUCCUCCCCAUGUCAAUCUCUAGCUUGUUUUGUCACUUUCCUCCUAGUUUUAUGACUUCUAUUUGUUCUUUUUUUUGUACUGUUAUCAUCUACCUCCUAUUGUCAAGGAAGUUAUUGGGAUUAAAGUUUGGGAAAUGUGAAACUAUGGUUUGUUUAUGUUCUGUCCCUUUCUUGUUUCUUUAGUUUGCUAGUCUAAGAUUGGACAUGCGUUAAGUCCAUUAUAUGCAAGGGUUAUUAGUAUCAUGUGGAGAAGGGAUGAAUUCAUCGUUAUGCUUUGUUGAUUUGGUGAAUUUGUUUGAUUUUAGGGGUCUUAGUUGGAAUAGUUGUGUAUAAUAAGCUAGCAUGCAGUUAUAGUUUAGUGGAGUAAUGUGCUAGCAGUUACAAUUUAGCGGACUAGUGUUAUAGCAGGCAACAUGUGUGGUGGCGAAAUUAUAUGAAGUGAAACAACAAGUAGAGCAGCUAAACUGCUCAAGUUUAAAAAUGUUGUCAUAUGUCAUUUGCCUUUCUUAUUCAUUGGAACAAUUAUGAACACAUGUCAUUUUGUGUUUUGAUUCAUUUAGCAGUUGCAAUUGAUUUCACUUAAAAUAAAAUAGCUUAGUGGCUCUCUCUUUUUGAGAACUUUUGAUACCACCAUUUUUUACAAUGUGUCUCUAACUUUUAUGGUAUAAUAACGCAUGAUUUGAGUAGUCAAGUAGACCAUGGCAAUGACCAACAGAAAUCCUCAAUGGACACUAUGGACCAUUUAGUUUCAGUAAACUUAAAUAGAGAAAAUUAUUUACUAUGGAUAUCACAAGCCGAGUCUAUAAUGAUGAGUCAAGAUCUACUCAAUUAUCUUAAUGGUUCUUCAAGGCCUCCAAGCAAGAAGGUUUCUAGGAAUGAGAAAGGUUUAGAUGAUCUUGAUUCAGAACUUGUGUUGUGCUCCAGGAUAGUCAAAUCUGUGGUUCAACUUCAGCAACUGAGAAGAAAAGCGGUACUAUAUCCUAUUAAGAUACGUGGAGUUGCUAUGAUGAGAGACUAUAGACCAAGAAAGGUGUUGUUGGAUCUUUGGCAUUAAAGGCUGGGUCAUGCCAUUAGGGGUGUUGUUAAUCUCUUAAAUAAAGAAAUCUCAUUUAAUGGAGAUUCAUAAUUAGAUGUGAGACAAAAUUUCUUGAUAGGCCAGGCACAUAAGCUGUCGUUUUCUAUAAGUAAGUCACAUGAAAUAAAACAUUUAGAAAUUUUACUUGCAGAUAUAUUGGUUCUUUCUCCUGUGACUUUAAGAGAAACAUUUAGUUAUAUUUUAUCCAAAUUUGAUCCGCACACAGGGGCUACUUGUGCUUUGAUCCAUUUAAGAAUAUAGUUUCUCGAUGCAUCUAUUUUGAUGUAAGAUCAAUAUUCAAUUUAAUCAAGGAUUUAGCGAUUAGCAACCCAAAGGCAUGGGGACUCGAAUUACCAGAUUCAAUAGAAAUUGGCACUCUAGCUUAGUCUAUUUCAGAUCCUUAACACCGAAAACAUAGAUUCACCAACCUAGAGGAGAUGUCAAUUGAACCUAUCCCAAACCCAUUCCCACUAGUUGAUCCUAUAUUCAACCCAAUUGCACAUGUUGACCUCUCACAAAAUCAAUCAGCAUCCAUCUUGUUAGACAAGACAUCGCCUCGACCUAAAAUUCAAUCACCUAACCCACCUUGAAGUUUGUUUACGUAACCGUUAUCCAAUCAACAUUGAAACACCACCCAUAGUCACCAAAUGGUAACACGGUCAAUGACCAGUUCCCUCAAGUUGAAGGCCUUAAGAAAUAUAGAAGACUGUAAGUCAAGUGAAGGCUUUAUAAAAUGUUGGGAGAUAAUGCAAUCUAAUGGGGGUCCAAGAAACAUAAAACGGUGGCCAGCUCCAGUACAGAGGCCGAAUGCAAGUCUCUUGCAUGUGCAAUAGCUGCAUUGCUAUGGUUACAAGCAAUGUCACAAAAACCAUGUUCUUCCCAAAAAAAAAUGUGAAAAAAAGCUAUAAAUAAAAUUGUCGUAUUAAACUUGGAAAAUGUAUUUUGUGGAAAAAACAUUAAAAAAUGCAAAAAAAAGUGUUUUUAUGUUUUUUUUUUCAUUUUUCUUGUUUUUUAGUGCCAAACCGUUUUUUUCAUUUUCUAUGUUGUUCUUGCAAAUUUACUUAUUUUUUUUAUGUUUGUGUUACUAGUUUCUCUCUUAUUUUACUUUUUCUUCAUUUUUAGUUUUUUUAAAUUUAAAAAAUUCACCAUAUUUUUUUCAUAUUUUCUCAUUUUUUUCAUGAUCUCCAUAUUAUGCUCAAGAAAAACCUCGUUGUUUAAAACUCUGAAACAUUAUUUGUGACUAUGAUUAUAAGUAGUACUUAAUGAAUUAAGGUUUUCAUCUAAUACUUCCACUCUCUGGUGCAACAACAUAUGAACAUUAUAUCCGGUGGCAAAUCUAGUUUUCCAUGCCCAAACUAAACAUGUGCAAAUUGAUUUCUACUUUAUUGGCCAUCAUGUUGAAAAGGGCAAUAUUUAGAUUGAGUUCAUUUGGUUCCCAGAACAAAUAGUAGAAGGGUUCACGAAACUGCUUAGUGCCGGAUUGUUUGAAACCUUCGAAUCUAAUCUUUCCAUUGGUGAACUGAUGCUCAGAUUCAGGGCAAUGACAAGCUAGCAGUUAUGGUUCAAUUGAGUAAUGUGCUAGUAGUUACAAUUUAGUGGAGUAGUGCUACAAUAGUUAAUAUAUGUGGUGGAGCAAUUAUAGAAGUGGAGCAGCUAAAGUUGCCAAGUUUAAAAUUGUCGCUAUUUGUCACUUGUCUUUCUUAUUAAUUGUAAUAGUUAUGGACAAUGUUGUUAAGUGCGUUGAUGCGAAGCGAUGCAUUGAGCCUGUGAGGCAGGCGAUGCGCAAUAUAGCAAGGUGACGCGUAAGCAUCAUGUUUAAAGUUUUGAAAUAUAUAAUAUGUUUAAAAAUGUAAAACAAGAAAAGGUGACGCGUAAGCAUCAUGUUUAAAGUUUUGAAAUAUAUAAUAUGUUUAAAAAUGUAAAACAAUAAAAUAAGAUGUAGAAAUGAUUUUGAAAAUUAUUUUUUGUGAACGGCUUAUAUAUAUUAUUCUAUAAUUAAUUGAAGCUAACUACAGAUGUAUGGUCAUCAACUUGAAAACAUAAGACAAAGGCAAAAAACAUGUCCCAUUACAGUACAAUAAGAUUUCAUGAAAAUUCUAAAACCAAAGGUUGACUUUUUUUUUUUUUCGUUUGUUAGCUCCUAUACGCGCACGAAAGAAAAAAAAAUCUUGACUUUCAAUUCAUGAAACUUGUGCAAUGACAAAUAAAAGGGUUUAACAUGUAAAAUUUAGAAGUGAAUACCUAAUAAUGGGUGAAAUCAAGUUGACAAGUUUGGUUCCAUAAAAUAAAUUUCAUGUCACAUAAUAUCAAAUCUAGAUGUUGAAUAGAACAUAGAUGGACCAAAAAACGUGUGAUAUCUUGGAAAAAUAGUAAGAAUGACUGCUGGCCAAUUUGUUAUUAUUGUCGACAGGCAUCAACCAUUCAACGGAAUGAGUGAAAGAUAGGAGAGAUUGAACAUUCACAGAAGGUUAUGCAAUAGCCGUUAAGAGAGCUCGCCGAAGAGCAAGCAUACGUUGAAUAGCUCUCAGAAGUCACCUGAUACACAUGCAGCACGCACUAGAUACGCGUCGUCUUCAUGCAUGUGGCAUGCGCAUGAGGCCCACUACGCCUCAACAUAUCUUUUUGAGGUGUUUCUUUAAUUGAUGUGUUGUGAUGUGUGCGCAUCAUGCCUUGAUGCGCACACAGUUAACAACAUUGGUUAUGGGCACAUGUCAUUUUCUGUUUUCAUUCAUUUAACAGUUUGAAAGUGAUUUCACUUAAGAUACAAAGGUUUGUGGCUCUCUUUUUUUAUGUUUUUUUGAUACCACCAUUUUUCACUACAUGUCUUAAACUUUUAAUGUGCUUAACGAAUGAUGUACCAUUGGAUGCUUUGGGAGGGAUCAAGGUAGUGCUUUUCAUGUUUUUUUGUUGACCUUCUGUGCUAUUUCACGUUAGAUUCACAUUAGUGUAUGCUGACAUUUCGAGAAUGUUAGCUGAUGCAGCGUGAUACAUGUUGAGGAGCUUCUAACGUUAUCUGCAUCUUCAUUUUUUGUCGUUGUUACUUGAAAACAUAACCAGUUAUUGUUCGCACUCAAUGUUCAAUCGCAUCUUUCCCUCUAGGACGAAAACAAUGCACUUGAGGAGCUUUUGGAAUCUGACUUGUUGGAUCUGAUUGGACUGGGGAAGAGGUAAGUUGGAUAUUAUUUUGGUUGUUUGUUUUGUUCAGGUUGAUUGCCUGCAAGUAAAAUAAUAAAUUUCUGGCCAUGCGGAUGAUCAUAACAAGUGACAGAUGGUAUGGUUCUCUUAGGACUCUUGGAGAGAAAAAGUAGGCUUCCAAUGAGGUUAGUUGUUUAAAUAUUUGCAGCAUUUAGAUGCUUUAAUUAAUAUACAGGAACAAUUAUCAAUAUUUGUUCACACAUUUGCAGUUUUUGUGCUGGUUUGAUCAAACCUUGUUAAUUUUUCGGAUGAUCUAAGUAAAGGAUGGAAUCAUGAUUGAGUUUCACUUGAUGAAAAUGACAAGCUUGUGAUAUGAGUGAACAAGAAGGCGGAUCCUUUUCUGGAACAGUGUACAAAGUAGAAAUAUGAUUUUAAUUCUCUUAAGUAUAAGAGGUUUCUACAUUUAUCAUCUUUUUGUGAACUCGUUUGGCUAUUUGAAUGAUUAUCGAGCAGACUGUGGAUGCAUUUUCCAAUUUUAUGAACAAAAGUGGUUGGCUGAGUGUAGAAGUUCAAGUGACUACUUUGGAGGCUAGAAAUUCUUGGCAUGUCGUGUUCUUGCUGGGACGCUUGAUGUUGUCAUGGUAUUAUUUUUUAUAUUCCCAAAUUGCAACAUUGUCUUUUUUUUUUUCUGUUUUUUCCUCAUCAUCUGCACGACAGGAUUCAUGCAUAUCGAUUGUGGUCGGCUUUAUGGCAUUUGGAAGAAGGUUGAUUCCUAAUUUUCACUGUUCCAAGCAUCAAGGCAUUAUGGAGCUCUUGAUUUGCAGUUCCCUACGAGCUCCAAAUGAGAAAAAGACGAUGCCUGUAAGAUUCCAUUAGAUCAGGAGACCCUUAUGUCAGUAUGACUUAGGUUCCUUUGCCAAAGCCGUAUUCAAUUUGAACCUAGCAUAAAAAAAUUGUAACACCAUAAUCACUAGACUUUCAAAUUUUGGGAUUUUUGAAUCAUAAAUUGUUGUUCAACAAUGUUUUCUCUAUCUGUUUGUGUGAGAUGUUCAAUUUGCUGUGGGUUGCAAUAUUCCUUUUGAUGGGCGGUUGAAAUCCACCGAAGGAGGGAAAAUUGGUACGGGCGGGUGAAAUUUCACCCGUCCGAUUGAAAUCCCGUCAAACAGGGUAGAAUUCCACCCAUUUAACCCAAAAGGGAGCGGGUGGAAUUCCACCCGCUCGAAAGUCCGAGCUCGGAGCUCGGACUUUUGAGUGGGUGAAAUUUCACCCGCUCGUUGUUUCGGGCGCUCGACCUCCCUCCUCAGCGCACGACUUCCUUCGGCAGCUCACAUCGCACUGCAGCUCCUCCUCCCUCGAGCCUUCUCACAUUGCACCAGAGUGGAAGGAGGUCGCACCGUCGCCGCUGCCUCUCCGCUCCACCGCCGCCAUCGCCGUGGUUCUUCAAAUUAGGGCUUCAAAGACUCAUCCUUUGAUUCUCUGCCUUCCUCUUCCACCGCUCGCCCCAUCUCUCGCCGUGCACCACCGCUGCCGCUCUGCUUUGGAUGAUAGUCACAGCUUGCAGGGAACUUGAGUUCCUCGAUGUGAGAGGCUGUUGGGAUGUGAAAUUGGACGGGGAGGAGUGGCUGGCCAAGAGACAACUGGAGAAGGGCUUGAAGGUUUUGGGUCCAGAGGUGGUCGAUCCCUAUGAACUCCUGGUUUGGAAGAUUAAACGUGAGUUUCUAUUGAAGAAAAAGGUUCAACAAUUAAUCCAGAUUAUCAGAUGUGCAUAUAUAUUUAGAAGCAGAGGGAGAAGGAAUGGUCUGCCGGAGCUUUUGGCAUUAUUAAUCGGUCAUGGUUCCCCGGUAGCAGUUUUACCUGUUCAGUUGGUGCUCCUAUAUGCAUCUAAGCAACUUCUUCCUUUGGUGGACAGAGGUUUAGCAUGGAGAGAUUAAUGAACAUGAUUCUCUUAUAUCUUGUUCUUAACAUGAUUCUCUUAUAUCAUGUUCUUACAUUUUUGACAAUGGCUGCAUUCGAAUCAUUCUUUAUUGUUUUCAAUCACAGUAGCAAAUGCCAAUUUCUUCAGUUCCUCCUCUUGUCUUUCUUCAAUUCUUUCCUUUGGUGGAUUUGUAAUUUGUCUUCCUGCUUUCAUUCUCACGAUAAUUACGCAAAUAAAACUAAGAGGAACAGUUGAUGUCAUGAGGAUUAAUUGGCUCUGCAUUAUAGUCGGAUCUAAACAUAAAGAGAAGUUGAAAAGCUUGUAAUUUAGUGUGAUCACCAGCAAUCUCGGGCCAAUACCUGCCGAUUUCCCAUUUUUCUUAAAGAAUAACUAAAGAAAGUUUAAGCUAAUAAAGAAAACUAAAACAUAUCUUAUGUUUUUGAAGAACUCACAUGGGCCCGUUAAGUCUUAGCAAUGGUCCGAUACAAUGCGAUGAUAAUGUACAUGGCUAUUGAGUGUACAUGCAUCGAACAUAUCACUUUUGAUUAAGCAGGAUGAGUAUUUCAUUCCAUAUAAAUGAAUGGUAAGGUUUGGUGUGGAACACACACACUCAACAUUUUGUUCUUAUUUGUUUUUGGAUGGUAGGGACUACACCCUAAACAUUUUGUUGUUUUGGAAAAUCAUCUUUCAAUUUUUUUCCAAAUCAGAUUUGGAGAGGAGAAGACAGAAAAAAAACAACAUUUACCAUCUUAAAUUCUUCCUGUGCAUCAAACAUGGUUAAAUUUACCACGUUAAAUUAUUCUUGUGCAUCAAACAGAGUUAAAUUUAUCAAGGUAAAUUUCACCCGCCCAUCAAACAGAACCUCAGAUUGGAAAAGAGAGAAAUUUCAUCCUGUGAAUUUUUCUGGAAAAAUUUAUCAUGGUAAAUUUACCGCGUUAAAUUUCACCCGCCCAUCAAACGGGCCCUUAAGUAUAAGAGGUUUCUACAUUUAUCAUCUUUUUAUGAACUCGUUUGACUAUUUGAAUGAUUAUCGAGCAGACUGUGGAUGCAUUUUCCAAUUUUAUGAACAAAAGUGGUUGGCUGAGUGUAGAAGUUCAAGUGACUACUUUGGAGGCUAGAAAUUCUUGGUAUGUCGUGUUCUUGCUGGGACGUUUGAUGUUGUCAUGGUAUUAUUUUUUAUAUUCCCAAAUUGCAACAUUGUCUUUCUUUUUUUCUGUUUUUUCCUCGUCAUCUGCACGACAGGAUUCAUGCAUAUCGAUUGUGGUCGGCUUUAUGGCAUUUGGAAAAAGGUUGAUUCCUAAUUUUCACUGUUCCAAGCAUCAAGGCAUUAUGGAGCUCUUGAUUUGCAGUUCCCUACGAGCUCCAAAUGAGAAAAAGACGAUGCCUGUAAGCUUCCAUUAGAUCAGGAGACCCUUAUGUCAGUAUGACUUAGGUUCCUUUGCCAAAGCCGUAUUCAAUUUGAACCUAGCAUAAAAAAAUUGUAACACCAUAAUCACUAGACUUUCAAAUUUUGGGAUUUUUGAAUCAUAAAUUGUUGUUCAACAAUGUUUUCUCUA